ACACAUGCAGUCGAACGGGCUCUUCGGAGCUAGUGGCGGACGGGUGAGUAACGCGUGAGGAUCUGCUCAGGAGGGGGAUAACGACUGGAAACGGCGCUAAUACCGCAUAUGCCUACGGGUGAAAGAUUAUCGCCUGGAGAUGAACUCGCGUCAGAUUAGCUAGUUGGUGGGGUAAGAGCCUACCAAGGCGACGAUCUGUAGCUGGUCUGAGAGGAUGAUCAGCCACACUGGGACUGAGACACGGCCCAGACUCCUACGGGAGGCAGCAGUGGGGAAUUUUCCGCAAUGGGCGCAAGCCUGACGGAGCAAGACCGCGUGCGGGAUGACGGCCUAAUGGUUGUAAACCGCUUUUCUCUGGGAAGAUGAUGACGGUACCAGAGGAAUCAGCCUCGGCUAACUCCGUGCCAGCAGCCGCGGUAAUACGGAGGAUGCAGGCGUUAUCCGGAUUUAUUAGGUUUAAAGGGUGUUCAGGCUGCCUGGUAAGUCAGGGGUGAAAGUCGGUUGCUCAACGAUCGAAUUGCCUUUGAAACUGUCAGGCUCGAGUAUGGAUGCGGUAGGCGGAAUGUGUAGUGUAGCGGUGAAAUGCAUAGAUAUUACACAGAACACCGAUUGCGAAGGCAGCUUACCAAACCAGCACUGACGCUGAAGCACGAAAGCGUGGGGAGCGAACAGGAUUAGAUACCCUGGUAGUCCACGCCGUAAACUUUGCUCACUCGCUGUUGGCGAUAGACAGUCAGCGGCCAAGGGAAACCGAUAAGUGAGCCACCUGGGGAGUACGGCCGCAAGGUUGAAACUCAAAGGAAUUGACGGGGGCCCGCACAAGCGGUGGAACAUGUGGUUUAAUUCGAUGAUACGCGAGGAACCUUACCUGGGCUUAAAUGUGAAGUGCAUUGAUUGGAAACAAUCAUUUCCUUCGGGACCCUUUACAAGGUGCUGCAUGGUUGUCGUCAGCUCGUGCCGUGAGGUGUCGGGUUAAGUCCCAUAACGAGCGCAACCCCUAUUGUUAGUUACCAGCGCGUGAUGGCGGGGACUCUAGCGAAACUGCCGGUGUAAACCGCGAGGAAGGUGGGGAUGACGUCAAAUCAGCACGGCCCUUAUGUCCAGGGCUACACACGUGUUACAAUGGCCGGUACAGCGGGCAGCUAGGCAGCGAUGUCAUGCUAAUCCCGAAAGCCGGUCCCAGUUCGGAUUGGAGUCUGCAACCCGACUUCAUGAAGGUGGAAUCGCUAGUAAUCGCGCAUCAGCCAUGGCGCGGUGAAUACGUUCCCGGGUCUUGUACACACCGCCCGUCAAGCCAUGGAAGUCUGGGGUGCCUGAAGGCCGUAACC
This 1328-nucleotide ribosomal RNA is filed under the name uncultured organism. RNAcentral's name for it is "bacterial SSU rRNA". It matches the Rfam family "Bacterial small subunit ribosomal RNA". The record is from RNAcentral.